This 255-nucleotide ribosomal RNA is filed under the name uncultured bacterium. RNAcentral's name for it is "partial 16S ribosomal RNA". It matches the Rfam family "Bacterial small subunit ribosomal RNA", at positions 524 to 776 of the family's 1533-position model. The record is from RNAcentral.
UACGUAGGGUGCAAGCAUUAUCCGGAGUGACUGGGCGUAAAGAGUUGCGUAGGUGGACAAGUAAGCGAAUAGUGAAAUCUGAUGGCUCAACCAUACAGACUAUUGUUCGAACUGCUCGUCUCGAGAAUGGUAGAGGUAACUGGAAUUUCUAGUGUAGGAGUGAAGUCCGUAGAUAUUAGAAGGAACACCAAUGGCGUAGGCAGGUUACUGGACCAUCUCUGACACUGAGGCACGAAAGCGUGGGGAGCGAACCGG